Molecule: ribosomal RNA, 253 nt
Filed under: uncultured bacterium
Lineage: Bacteria
Description: partial 16S ribosomal RNA
Rfam family: Bacterial small subunit ribosomal RNA
Source: RNAcentral
UACGUAGGUGGCAAGCGUUGUCCGGAAUUAUUGGGCGUAAAGCGCGCGCAGGCGGUCCUUUAAGUCUGAUGUGAAAGCCCACGGCUCAACCGUGGAAGGUCAUUGGAAACUGGGGGACUUGAGUGCAGAAGAGGAAAGUGGAAUUCCAAGUGUAGCGGUGAAAUGCGUAGAGAUUUGGAGGAACACCAGUGGCGGAGGCGACUUUCUGGUCUGUAACUGACGCUGAGGCGCGAAAGCGUGGGGAGCAAACAGG